This 432-nucleotide ribosomal RNA is filed under the name uncultured bacterium. RNAcentral's name for it is "partial 16S ribosomal RNA". It matches the Rfam family "Bacterial small subunit ribosomal RNA", at positions 29 to 507 of the family's 1533-position model. The record is from RNAcentral.
AACGAACGCUGGCGGCAGGCCUAACACAUGCAAGUCGAGCGAGGACUUCGGUCCUAGCGGCGGACGGGUGAGUAACGCGUGGGAACGUGCCCUUUGCUUCGGAAUAGCCCUGGGAAACUGGGAGUAAUACCGGAUGAGCCCUUUGGGGGAAAGAUUUAUCGGCGAAGGAUCGGCCGCGUUGGAUUAGGUAGUUGGUGGGGUAAUGGCCUACCAAGCCGACGAUCCAUAGCUGGUUUGAGAGGAUGAUCAGCCACACUGGGACUGAGACACGGCCCAGACUCCUACGGGAGGCAGCAGUGGGGAAUCUUAGACAAUGGGGGAAACCCUGAUCUAGCCAUGCCGCGUGAGCGAUGAAGGCCUUAGGGUUGUAAAGCUCUUUCAGCUGGGAAGAUAAUGACGGUACCAGCAGAAGAAGCCCCGGCUAACUCCGUG